UUAAAUUGAAGAGUUUGAUCAUGGCUCAGAUUGAACGCUGGCGGCAGGCCUAACACAUGCAAGUCGAACGGUAGCACAGAGAGCUUGCUCUCGGGUGACGAGUGGCGGACGGGUGAGUAAUGUCUGGGAAACUGCCUGAUGGAGGGGGAUAACUACUGGAAACGGUAG
RNAcentral lists this ribosomal RNA (168 nucleotides) under Kosakonia radicincitans. RNAcentral's name for it is "16S rRNA. Bacterial SSU". It matches the Rfam family "Bacterial small subunit ribosomal RNA", at positions 1 to 162 of the family's 1533-position model. Lineage: Bacteria; Pseudomonadati; Pseudomonadota; Gammaproteobacteria; Enterobacterales; Enterobacteriaceae. The record is from RNAcentral.